GAUGAACGCUGGCGGCGUGCCUAAUACAUGCAAGUCGAGCGAACAGACGAGGAGCUUGCUCCUCUGACGUUAGCGGCGGACGGGUGAGUAACACGUGGAUAACCUACCUAUAAGACUGGGAUAACUUCGGGAAACCGGAGCUAAUACCGGAUAAUAUAUUGAACCGCAUGGUUCAAUAGUGAAAGACGGUUUUGCUGUCACUUAUAGAUGGAUCCGCGCCGCAUUAGCUAGUUGGUAAGGUAACGGCUUACCAAGGCAACGAUGCGUAGCCGACCUGAGAGGGUGAUCGGCCACACUUGGACUGAGACACGGUCCAGACUCCUACGGGAGGCAGCAGGAGGGAAUCUUCCGCAAUGGGCGAAAACCUGACGGAGCAACGCCGCGUUAGUGAUGAAGCUCUUCGGAUCGUAAAACUCUGUUAUUAGGGAAGAACAAAAGUGUAAGUAACGAUGCACUUCUUGACGGUACCUAAGCAGAAAGCCACGGCUAACUACGUG
Molecule: ribosomal RNA, 497 nt
Filed under: uncultured bacterium
Lineage: Bacteria
Description: partial 16S ribosomal RNA
Rfam family: Bacterial small subunit ribosomal RNA
Source: RNAcentral